Molecule: ribosomal RNA, 205 nt
Filed under: uncultured bacterium
Lineage: Bacteria
Description: partial 16S ribosomal RNA
Rfam family: Bacterial small subunit ribosomal RNA
Source: RNAcentral
UGCGUAGGUGGCGCCGUAAGUCGGGUGUGAAAUUUCGGAGCUUAACUCCGAAACUGCAUUCGAUACUGCGGUGCUUGAGGACUGGAGAGGAGACUGGAAUUCAUGGUGUAGCAGUGAAACGCGUAGAGAUCAUGAGGAAGACCAGUGGCGAAGGCGGGUCUCUGGACAGUUCCUGACACUGAGGCACAAGGCCAGGGAGCAAACG